CUUUUUCGCUAAAUUCCCGAGUUUAUACAAAUUAUUACAGAAAAGUGAGAAAUUAGACUCAAAUUAAGAAAUACAUCAGAAAACUAACAGUUACUUCCAAACAACCUAAUUCAGACUUAACGUCUAACAACAUGAGAUUGAACCACUUCCAGGAUCCAGAUUUCCAAAGCCUUCUCUUUAUAUAGGGUGUUUCAAAGUUUUGAGGAAUUUUAGGAAUUCCAGCCAUUGCUUACACCCAAGAUACCAAAUAAAAUAUUAUAGGUACAGUGCAGUAUGGAGGGGCCAGCUCUCAGUUGUCCAAGUUCAGAGGGAGCUCCAGGUUCCCAAGGCAAAGCUCACAAGAGAUGGGCGGAGGUUAGGUUCUAAGAAUGAGUGUAAGUGCAAAAAGGGGUUGGGGAAUGCCAUUACAGGUUGGUGGUCAUGCCUAGCCACAAAGUAGGCUGGCACACCCCUGACAAAACAUUUUCAACCAAACAAAUAAGAGCACAAACCUAUUGAAGGUUAGAUUAUGGUCUGGACAGUGAUCAGGACACUGCCAGACCAAGGUCUUGGGCUCAAAGUGCACAUAGGGGGAAAGGGAAUGGGAGUUGACAGAGUUUAGGAUUCAGAGAAUCCAGUCCAUAUACCUAAACAACAAUGUUAAGUGUUGUCAUGCUUUCUGAACCAUAACUCAACAGAUAAAGGGGUUUGGGGAUAGGGGAUUCAUAUAAGAGUAAGGAUAACAAACUUGCAGAAAAGCAGUAAGAAACAAACACAGAAAAAGCCUAAAGUAUAAACACAUAAGAGAGAGGAGGGAUUUAAACUAGAAGAGACAUACCAGUUGCAAAAGUAAAUGGAAAGAGAAGCAGAACACUUGCAGCCACAACACAACCAAAGAAAGCUAACUUUGAUUUUAGAGGAAAAACUCGAAUGCUUUUUUAGAGAACUAAGAGUAAAAGAAGUAGUGAGUUAUAUUGUGUGUUCGUGAGAACCUUGGUGUUGAAAGAGCAGAGGUAGAGGUAUUUAUAAUUUUGAAAAUGAGUAGAGAGUAAGGUAAUAAGUACAAUUUUAACACAAAUAUGGAAACAAUCACAAGUUAGAAUUAAUUAGCCCAAGUGACUCCCCUUUAAUUAAGGAGUCACUGUUUAACGGGUAACAACAGGUGUAACUAACGAAAGAAACAUCAAUUGGGGGACAGAGUGAUUAUUGCCAUAAAAAGGGUAGUAAAAGCAUGAAGUAAACGAUCAAGUCUAAGUACAACGAUAUGCUUAUUUUAGGAAAGAUCCAGUAAGGUAAAAUAUAAUAGUAAGGGGAAAAGAAUCAAUUGAUUUUAAACAUCGAGUGAAAUCAUGACUCGUAAGAAAACUUUUCAAAUCAGUCACAAAAUCUAGAUCAGUCAAGGAAGAAACAUGAUUCUGCACUUCAGCAUAUAAAUAGAGUGAACAAAAGCAUCAGUCAUGCGAGGCCAAGAACAUAAGCAUAUGAUUCAGUAGAUAAUCAUGGCUUACACAUUUGGUCAAAGUGAAGAAAAGAGUCAAAACAGGUAAAGCUCUUCACAGUAACAAGUGAGGAAGCCCUUAUGAGAGAUUAGGAUUUCAGCAGUGGUCGAGUUAAAAGAUAGUAAAACCCAGAAUCAGAUGAGUUACAUAAAGAAAAGGGAGUCUGAAACAAGGAACCUUUAAUAGAGUCAGACGUACUUUCUGACAAUUAGUCUUAGACGAAAAGACCUAGGAUUUUCCACAAUAAUCGAGUGUAAAAAACGGUGAAACAAAUAAGUCAAACAAGAACGAGGAGGAGAUGAAUCAGACAAGUAUGCAUCUAACAAACAGUUUCAGCACUCAAAUGAGACCAAAAAAGAACUAGGAUUUUUAGCAUGCUGAAACAAAUAGAAGAACGACAUGAGCAAAUCAUAGCCAAACCACAAACAUGUUAAAGUCGAAGAUCUUUUGAAAACUUAAACCAAAACCCUAAUGAAGGGUCGUUUUACAAGAAAAGUUGAAGAACUUUCGAGAAAACACUUAAAAAGUUCAUGGUAAGUACAGAUCUAAAGUAGAUCUCACAGGAAAAAUCAAAAAUCCUAAUGAUUAGGGUUUUGAAAAACCCAGAAAGGUGAGAAAGGAUUUGAAAAUUAACAAUAUAACCAGGAGAGUCAAGGAUCUGACUCGAACGGCCACAGCUGGCCGGAGAAAACUCAAGGAUGGCAAGAGAAAGGCCAUGAACGGAAGUCAGGCAAACACUAGACAAACUCCUUCGAGGUCUGGUCAUGAAACCAUAGAAACGAACACCUGGGAGCUAUAGGAGGCCAUUACACAUCUCCAAUGGCCAUGGGGGCCAUGGAACAGGCAGGGUUUGGAGUAGAUUAGGGUGGGAUUAGAUGGUGGCGGCUAGGGUUCAUGAGAGCUUCAAAGAGAGUUGAGAGAGAAGAGGGAUUCAAGGGCGGCGGUUGG
RNAcentral lists this long non-coding RNA (2426 nucleotides) under Nicotiana benthamiana. RNAcentral describes it as "long non-coding RNA (NBEN_LNC027509)". Lineage: Eukaryota; Viridiplantae; Streptophyta; Magnoliopsida; Solanales; Solanaceae. The record is from RNAcentral.